GUUAUGUUAGACAACGCCUUAUAUUGUAUUUUCUCUAUUUCAAGUUAUGCUGAUUUGAAUAUUUGUGUAAUAAGUAGUGACUGUUUUGCAUUUGUUUUGUUUUGCGAGGACUAAUGACAUUGACUAUCGGGCCAAACUUCAACCACAAAUUAUUUAGUUUAUUUGACAAUGCUGUAAUGUUUAACUUUGUUUAUUUCAAUUAUGCUGAUGUUGAAUUUUUGAGUAAUGAGUACCUAGUGACUGUUUUUGCUUAUGUGUUGUGGCGUGACUGAUUCUAUUCCAAGUACUCCUCAAAUACAUAUCUCCACUCCUUAAAUAUUGAGGUACGUAACCAACAUUUGAAAUUUGAUAUUUCUUUUUGGACAAUAAUUAACUUGAGCUUGAAAUUCCCGGGUUCAAUUUCAUCUCAGUUUUUUUAAUUAGGUUAUGUCAGACAACCCUUAUAUUGUAUUUUCUCUAUUUCCAGUUAUGCUGAUUUGAAUAUUUGUGUAAAGUAGUGACUGUUUUGCAUUUGUUGUGUUUUGCGAGGACUAAUGCUUGACUAUCGGGCUAAACUUUCAACCACAAAUGUUUAGGUAUUAUUGGACAAUGUUUAUGUUGAACUUGGUUUAUUUCAGUUAUGCUGAUUUGAAUUUUUGAGUACUGAAUAGUGACUGUUUUGCAUUUAUUGUGUUUGUGCGAGAACUGAUGGCUAUUACCAAGUACUCCUCAAUACAUUCUCCACGCCUUUAAAUAUUGAGGUAGUAACAAACAUUUGAAAUUGUAAUAUUUUAUUUUGACCAUAAUUAACUUGAGCCUUAAAUUUCCCGGUUCCAAUUUCAAGCUCAGUUAAUUAGUUUUAUGUUAGACACGCCUUAUAUUGUAUUUUCUCUAUUUCAAGUUAUGCUGAUUUGAAUAUUUGUGUAAUAAGUAGUGACUGUUUUGCAUUUGUUUUGUUUUGCGAGGACUAAUGACAUUGACUAUCGGGCUAAACUUCAACCACAAAUUAUUUAGGUAUUAUUUGACAAUGCUUUAUGUUGAACUUUGUUUAUUUCAAGUUAUGCUGAUUUGAAUUUUUGAGUAAUGAGUAGUGACUGUUUUGCAUUUAUUGUGUUGUGCGUGAACUGAUGCUAUUACCAAGUACUCUCAAAUACAUAUCUCCACGCCUUUAAAUAUUGAGGUACGUAACAAACAUUUGAAAUUGUAUAUUUAUUUUGGACAAUAAUUAACUUGAGCCUUGAAAAUUCCGGGUUCAUUUCAAGCUCAAGUUAAUUAGGUUAUGUAGACAACGCCUAAUUGUAUUUUCUCUAUUUCCAUAUGCUGAUUUAAAUAUUUGUGUAAUAAGUAGUGACUGUUUUCAUUUGUUUUGUUUUGCGAGGACCUAAUGACAUUGACUAUCGGGCUAAACCUUCACCACAACUUAUUAGGUAAUUAUUGACAUGCUUUAUGUGGAACUUUGUUUAUUUCAAGUUAUGCUGAUUUGAAUUUUUGAGUAAUGAGUAUUGACUUUUGCAUUUAUUGUGUUGUGCUUGAAACUGAUGCUAUACCAAUACUCUCAAAUACAAUCUCCACUCCUUUAAAUAUUGAGGUACGUCACAACAUUUGAAUUGGUAUAUUUAAUUUUGGACAAUAAUUAACUUGACGCUUGAAAUUUCCCGGGUUUAAUUUCAGCUCAGUUUAAUUAGGUUAUUCAGACAACGCCUUAUAUUGUAUUUUCUCUAUUCAGUUAUGCUGAUUGAAUAUUUGGUGUAAUAAGUUUGACUGUUUUGCUUUUGUUUGUUUGUCGAGGACUAAUGACUUGACUAUCGGCUAAAUUUCAACCACAAAUUAUUUACGUAUUAUUGACAAUGCUUUAUGUUGAACUUUAUUUAUUCAGUUAUGCUAUUUGAAUUUUUGAGUAAUGAGUAGUGACUGUUUUGCAUUUAUUGUGGGUGUUCGUAACUGAGGCUAUUACCAAUACUCUCCAAUAGGCCUUUAAAUAUUGAGGUACGUAACAAACAUUUGAAAUUGUAUAUUUAUUUUGGACAAUAAUUAUUUGAUCUGAAAUUUCCCGGGUUCAUUUCAAACUCAGUUAAUUAGGUAAUGUAGACAACGCCUAUAUUGUAUUUUCUUCAUUUCAAGUUAUGCGGAUUUGAUAUUUGUGUAAUAGUAGUGACUAUUUGCAUUUGUUUUAUUUGCGAGGACUAAUGACAUUUACUUGGUGAUACUUCACCUCAAAUUAUUAGGGUAUUAUUGACAUGCUUUAUGUGUACUUUGUUUAUUUCAAGUUAUUGCUGAUUUGAAUUUUUGAGUAUGAGUCGUGACUGUUUUGGCAUUAUUGGGUUGUGCGAGAACUGAUGCUAUUACCAAGUACUCCUCAACUACAAUAUCUCCACGCCUUUAAAUUUGAGGUACGUAACAAACAUUUGAAAUGGUAUCUUUAUUUUGACAAUAAUUAACUUGAGCUUGAAAUUCCCGGGUUCAAUUUCAAGCUCAAGUUAAUUUAGUUUAUGUAGAUAACAUCCGUAUAUUGUAGGUUCUCUAUUUCAAGUUAGGCUGAUUGAAUAUUUGUGUAAUAAUUAGUGACUGUUUGGCAUUUGUUUUGUUUUGCUAGGACUAAUGACAUUUCUAUCGGGUACUUCAACACAAUAUUUAGGGAUUAUUUUGAAUAUCUUUAAUGUUGAACUUUAUUUAUUCCAAGUUGAUGCUGAUUUGAAUUUUUGAGUAAUGAGUAGUGACUGUUUUGCAUUAUUGUUUUUGUGCGUGAACUGAUGCUAUUACCAAGUACUCUCAAUACAUUCCCACGCCUUUAAAUAUUGAGGUACGUAACAACAUUUGAAUUGUAUAUUUAUUUUGGCACAAUAAUUAAUUUUAGUUGAAAUAUCCCGGGUUCAAUUUCAACUCAAGUUAAUUGGUUCAUGUUAUACAACGUCUUAUAUUGUAUUUUCUCUAUGUCAAGUUAUGCUGAUUUUAAUAUUUUUGUAGAAGUAGUGACUGUUUUUGCUUUGUUUGUUUUGCGAUGACUAAUGACAUUGACUUUCGUGCUAAAAUUCAAUUCACUCACGAAAUUAUUUAGGGAUUAUUUGACCUGCUUUAUGUUGGUACUUUAUUUAUUCAAGUUAUGCUGAUUUGAAUUCUUUGGGUAAUGAUUCGUGACUGUUUUGCAUUUAAUUGUUUUGUUGCGAGAACUGAUGCUAUUACCAGUCCUCUCAAAUACAUAUCCCACGCCUUUAAAUAGUGAGGUUACGGUAACACAUUUGAAAAAUGUAUAUUUAGUUUGGACAAUAAUUAACUGAGCUUGACAUUUUCCAGGGUGCAAUUUCAAGCUCAAUUUAAUUAGGUUUAUGUUAAGACAACGCCUUAUAUUGUAUUUGUCCCCUCUAUUUCAAGUUAUGCUGAUUUGAAUAUUGGUGUAAUAAUUAGUGACUGUGGUUUUGCAUUUGUUUUGUGUUUGGCGAGGAGACGCAUGACAUUACUAUCGGCUAAACUUCGACCACAAAUUAUGUAGAGGUUACAUUUAACAGUUCCUUUAUGUUGAACUUUGUUUAUUUCAAGUUAUCAUUUGAAUUUUUGAUGUAAUGAUCGUGACUGUCUUUUGCAUUAUUGUGUUGUGCGAGAACUGAUGCUAUUACCAAGUCACUCUCAAAGACAUAUUCCACGCCUUUAUAUGAGGUCCGUAACAAACAUUUGAAAUUGUAUAUUUAUUUUGUACAAUAAUUAACUUGAGCUUGAAAUUUCCCGGGUUCAAUUUCA
This 3711-nucleotide long non-coding RNA is filed under the name Actinidia chinensis (golden kiwifruit). RNAcentral's name for it is "long non-coding RNA (ACHI_LNC000321)". The record is from RNAcentral. Lineage: Eukaryota; Viridiplantae; Streptophyta; Magnoliopsida; Ericales; Actinidiaceae.